GCCAGACUCCUACGGGAGGCAGCAGUGGGGGAUAUUGCACAAUGGGGGAAACCCUGAUGCAGCGACGCCGCGUGGGCGAAGAAGUAUUUCGGUAUGUAAAGCCCUAUCAGCAGGGAAGAAGAAAUGACGGUACCUGAGUAAGAAGCCCCGGCUAACUACGUGCCAGCAGCCGCGGUAAUACGUAGGGGGCAAGCGUUAUCCGGAUUUACUGGGUGUAAAGGGGGCGCAGACGGCGAUGCAAGCCAGGAGUGAAAGCCCGGGGCCCAACCCCGGGACUGCUCUUGGAACUGCGUGGCUGGAGUGCAGGAGGGGCAGGCGGAAUUCCUGGUGUAGCGGUGAAAUGCGUAGAUAUCAGGAGGAACACCGGUGGCGAAGGCGGCCUGCUGGACUGCAACUGACGUUGAGGCCCGAAAGCGUGGGGAGCAAACAGGAUUAGAUACCCGGGUAC
RNAcentral lists this ribosomal RNA (448 nucleotides) under uncultured bacterium. Its description in RNAcentral is "bacterial SSU rRNA". It matches the Rfam family "Bacterial small subunit ribosomal RNA", at positions 330 to 793 of the family's 1533-position model. The record is from RNAcentral.